UAAAGACUGAAUGGAAAACAUGAGAGAGGAAGCUCGUGAUUUCUGAGCAUCUUGUCAAGUGGAGGCAGGCUGCUUUCUCCCACUGGAUCGUGUGUGUGCGUGCAUGUGUGUGUGUGUUAGAGGGGAAAAAAAUCUUUUUUCUUUAUUUUUAGCCAGGGUAAAAGGGAGCCUGCUGCGGGUGCUGCGAGGAGGCUGCUGGGGAAGUUCCCCGACGUGGCUGCAUGGCUCUGGGCAUGCAGGUGAGUGCUGGGGUGGGCUGCUUGAGCCUCAGGCUCUGCUGUGAGGUAGAGGAGUGGAUUGUGUGACUGAGAACUUGGCUGUGGCUUGGCUGGCGAGGGAAUGCUGGAAGGUAAAAGGCAGGUGGGUGCGCGGUCUCUAGUACUGCACCUGAGCAGUCAGAGGGCAUUGUGAUAUUGGGGUCUAAACAAAAAGCUGAGUAUCAAGAGCACUUGAAUGAAAUUUAGCAAAAUUGGUGAGGUGACUUCAUUUAGCUCAUUUGAAGCUAUGAGUGCCAAAAAUCUGGGAAAAUUAGGUCUUUCUUGAUCAGGUAAAUCCUGAGGAUGUUGUCUUCAUUUAAAGUAUUUUUAUCCUAACUCCAAAACAUCGGGCAGAGCUGUUAGCAGAAGCUGAGUUUGGAGAGAAUUAAGCAGAGUCCCUCUUUCUGUGUGAACAGAUAAACCAGGUGUAGUUUAAUGUGUGGUAGUCUGGAGCGAGCAGACUGAUUUCUAGAUUUUUGGGAGGAAAUCUGAGUUUGAGGUAAUGUCCAAAGACAUUUUCUCCAAAUAAUAAGUAUAAAUAGUCCUGGGCUGCAUCUUUGCUGACAGUGCAUCUCUCUUGGUUUAAUAGCAUCAAAUCAGUUCAGCACGGCGCAGCAGGCUUGAUAUCCCCAGACCAAUUGCGACUGG
This 905-nucleotide long non-coding RNA is filed under the name Anas platyrhynchos platyrhynchos (common mallard). RNAcentral's name for it is "lncRNA (ENSAPLG00000031059.1)". The record is from RNAcentral. Lineage: Eukaryota; Metazoa; Chordata; Aves; Anseriformes; Anatidae.